RNAcentral lists this ribosomal RNA (406 nucleotides) under uncultured bacterium. Its description in RNAcentral is "partial 16S ribosomal RNA". It matches the Rfam family "Bacterial small subunit ribosomal RNA", at positions 30 to 526 of the family's 1533-position model. The record is from RNAcentral.
AUUGAACGCUGGCGGCAGGCCUAACACAUGCAAGUCGCACGAGUGGCGGACGGGUGAGUAAUGUCUGGGAAACUGCCCGAUGGAGGGGGAUACCUACUGGAAACGGUAGCUAAUACCGCAUCCCAUCGGAUGUGCCAAGAUGGGAUUAGCUUGUAGGUGAGGUAACGGCUCACCUAGGCGACGAUCCCUAGCUGGUCUGAGAGGAUGACCAGACACCCUGGAACGUAGCCACGUUCCAGACGCCUAUGGGAGGCAGCAGUGGGGAAUAUUGCACAAUGGGCGCAAGCCUGCUGCAGCCAUGACGCGUGUAUGAAGAAGGCCUUCGGGUUGUAAAGUACUUGCAGCGGGGAGGCGUUACCCGCAGAAGCAGCACCGGCUAACUCCGUGCCAGCAGCCGCGGUAAUAC